AUGGAGUUUAAAUACUUCUAAGUAUUAAGGUUUUAGUGAUGUGUUAUGUUUAGUUUUGAGAGGUUAGUUCUCUCAGAUAGUAAGAAAAUCAAUACUCGUCAAACAGUAUUUUUAAAUUACUAUGAAUUGUUCUUUGAAAACUGGAUAAUAGACAUCUAGUUAUAUAAAUUUAUUUAUAUAACAAAUUAACAAUCAAAUUUCUGUUAUUUUUAAAAUUAACUUUUAAAACUGAAAUUUCACAGUUAUUUAUUUGUAAAUGAUUCUCAAAACAAAAAAACCUUUGGUUAUUUAAACCAAUUGAUUGAUCAAA
RNAcentral lists this unclassified non-coding RNA (310 nucleotides) under Spiroplasma sp. CRAYFISH. RNAcentral describes it as "16S-23S ribosomal RNA intergenic spacer". Lineage: Bacteria; Bacillati; Mycoplasmatota; Mollicutes; Entomoplasmatales; Spiroplasmataceae. RNAcentral also lists the same sequence under 2 other names. The record is from RNAcentral.